ACAUAGCCCUAGAAACAAUCUAAGGUGUAACCUGCCCAGUGAUCUUUAAUUAAUAAGAUAAAAUCUUUUAAAAAAGAUUAAAAGGACGCGGUAACCUUGACCGUGGUAAUGUAGCAUAAUCACUCGCCAUUUAAUUGGUGGAUAGUAUGAAUGGUUGAACGAAUAUUCCACUGUCUUAGAGAGAACUAAUUUAAAUUGAAAUAGUAGUUAAGAUGCUAUUUUAAACUGUAAGACGAAAAGACCCUAUAGAGCUUAACUAUAAUCUCUAUACCAAAAACGAAUAAUUAUUCUCUAAUUAUAGAGAUUGGUAGUUUAGUUGGGGCGACUAUCUUCUAUAAAUAACGAAGAUAAGCAAUGUUAAUAAAUAACUUAUUGUAUAAUAAAAUAAUUUAACAAUUAUAAAAAUAGGCUAUAUUGACCCGUUAAAACACAAUAAAAUGUUUAACGAUCAAUUAAUAAAAGCUACCUUAGGGAUAACAGGAUAAUUUCAUUUUAGAGUUCCCAUCGAAAAUGAAGUUUGUCACCUCUAUGUUGAAUUAAGAUAUCCUGAUAAUGCAGCAGUUAUCAAAGGUAGGUCUGUUCGACCUUUAAAAUCUUACAUGAUUUGAGGUUCAUUC
This 617-nucleotide ribosomal RNA is filed under the name Eucheilota maculata. RNAcentral describes it as "partial 16S ribosomal RNA". It matches the Rfam family "Bacterial large subunit ribosomal RNA", at positions 1813 to 2617 of the family's 2925-position model. The record is from RNAcentral. Lineage: Eukaryota; Metazoa; Cnidaria; Hydrozoa; Leptothecata; Campanulariidae.